AGCAGCCGCGGUAAUUCCAGCUCCAAUAGCGUAUAUUAAAGUUGUUGCAGUUAAAAAGCUCGUAGUUGAAUUUCGGGAUCAAUAUGUCGGUCGUGCCUUCGGUACGUACUGGUAUCAUUGGUCUCUCCUUUCUGACGAACCAUGAUGUCAUUAAUUUGGUGUUAUGGGGAGUUAGGACUGUUACUUUGAAAAAUUAGAGUGUUUAAAGCAGGCUUUAGCUUGAAUACAUUAGCAUGGAAUAAUGAAAUAGGACGUUCGAACCUAUUUUGUUGGUUUCUAGGAUCAACGUAAUGAUUAAUAGGGAUAGUUGGGGGCAUUAGUAUUCAAUUGUCAGAGGUGAAAUUCUUGGAUUUAUUGAAGACUAACUACUGCGAAAGCAUUUGCCAAGGAUGUUUUCAUUAAUCAAGAACGAAAGUUAGGGGAUCGAAGACGAUCAGAUACCGUCGUAGUCUUAACCAUAAACUAUGCCGACUAGGGAUCGGAUGAUGUUAAUUUUUUAAUGACUCAUUCGGCGCCUUAC
Molecule: ribosomal RNA, 520 nt
Filed under: uncultured Glomus
Lineage: Eukaryota; Fungi; Glomeromycota; Glomeromycetes; Glomerales; Glomeraceae
Description: SSU rRNA
Rfam family: Eukaryotic small subunit ribosomal RNA
Source: RNAcentral